GUGGGGAAUAUUGGACAAUGGGCGAAAGCCUGAUCCAGCCAUGCCGCGUGUGUGAAGAAGGUCUUCGGAUUGUAAAGCACUUUAAGUUGGGAGGAAGGGGUUGAAGCUAAUACCUUCAAUCUUUGACGUUACCAACAGAAUAAGCACCGGCUAACUCUGUGCCAGCAGCCGCGGUAAUACAGAGGGUGCAAGCGUUAAUCGGAAUUACUGGGCGUAAAGCGCGCGUAGGUGGUUUAGUAAGAUGGAAGUGAAAUCCCCGGGCUUAACCUGGGAACUGCUUUCAUAACUGCUGAGCUAGAGUACGGUAGAGGGUAGUGGAAUUUCCUGUGUAGCGGUGAAAUGCGUAGAUAUAGGAAGGAACACCAGUGGCGAAGGCGACUACCUGGACUGAUACUGACACUGAGGUGCGAAAGCGUGGGGAGCAAACAGGAUUAGAAACCCUAGUAGUCC
This 450-nucleotide ribosomal RNA is filed under the name uncultured bacterium. Its description in RNAcentral is "bacterial SSU rRNA". It matches the Rfam family "Bacterial small subunit ribosomal RNA", at positions 354 to 796 of the family's 1533-position model. The record is from RNAcentral.